This 683-nucleotide long non-coding RNA is filed under the name Equus caballus (horse). Its description in RNAcentral is "lncRNA (ENSECAG00000056669.1)". The record is from RNAcentral. Lineage: Eukaryota; Metazoa; Chordata; Mammalia; Perissodactyla; Equidae.
AACAGAAGUCUUAGGUUCAUGCACAGACCAGUGGAAAACAAAGACUCAGAAGGAUCCAUCCAAGAAUUAGAACAUAGGAGUGGAGACGGCUGAAGAGCUGAAUGUCAGACUUCCAAGAUGCUGCCACAGCAUGGCUUGACAAGCAGUGCUAGGUCCACGACUGGGAUCCGAACCUGUGAACCCUGGGCUGCUGAAGCAGAGUGCAGGAACUUAACCACUACACCACUGGGCCAGCCCCAAAAUUUACUGAACGCUAUGCUGAUCUGGCUUAGGACAAAGGUAUAGAUAUUUAUAUUUAGAUAUAGAUUUAAUUAUAGAGACAAAAUAGAUAUAUAAAAAAAGGCAUAGGUAUAUUACCAUAUUAAGGAAAUAGCCAUCAAACCCUCUGAUCGUAUUUUCAUCAAAAUCAUGCAUGUCUAUUAUUCUAAUCGUCAAAUGGAGGAUGAUCUUCUGGUAACAGAGACGUGAAGAGGUUAUAGAGUUCCACUUUGCAAAGAAACAAGUACAAAGCAAAUGUACAGAGGGAAAAUGCCUAAAAUCACCAUCUGAAAAUUAAGAAAUGUUUAUUCUUGGAAAAUUGCUACAGUUUCAGCUGUGGUACCUGUACCUGUAGCUGUAUCUUGCAACCAAGAAGAAAAGGUCAAGAGAGUUUUUAUGAGUUUGUUCUGACAUUCAUGAGCUAC